RNAcentral lists this ribosomal RNA (766 nucleotides) under Trichocomaceae sp. LM270. Its description in RNAcentral is "SSU rRNA". It matches the Rfam family "Eukaryotic small subunit ribosomal RNA", at positions 34 to 806 of the family's 1831-position model. Lineage: Eukaryota; Fungi; Ascomycota; Eurotiomycetes; Eurotiales; Trichocomaceae. The record is from RNAcentral.
GUCUCAAAGAUUAAGCCAUGCAUGUCUAAGUAUAAGCAAUUUAUACGGUGAAACUGCGAAUGGCUCAUUAAAUCAGUUAUCGUUUAUUUGAUAGUACCUUACUACAUGGAUUCCUGUGGUAAUUCUAGAGCUAAUACAUGCUAAAAACCUCGACUUCGGAAGGGGUGUAUUUAUUAGAUAAAAAACCAAUGCCCUUCGGGGCUCCUUGGUGAAUCAUAAUAACUUAACGAAUCGCAUGGCCUUGCGCCGGCGAUGGUUCAUUCAAAUUUCUGCCCUAUCAACUUUCGAUGGUAGGAUAGUGGCCUACCAUGGUGGCAACGGGUAACGGGGAAUUAGGGUUCGAUUCCGGAGAGGGAGCCUGAGAAACGGCUACCACAUCCAAGGAAGGCAGCAGGCGCGCAAAUUACCCAAUCCCGACACGGGGAGGUAGUGACAAUAAAUACUGAUACGGGGCUCUUUUGGGUCUCGUAAUUGGAAUGAGUACAAUCUAAAUCCCUUAACGAGGAACAAUUGGAGGGCAAGUCUGGUGCCAGCAGCCGCGGUAAUUCCAGCUCCAAUAGCGUAUAUUAAAGUUGUUGCAGUUAAAAAGCUCGUAGUUGAACCUUGGGUCUGGCUGGCCGGUCCGCCUCACCGCGAGUACUGGUCCGGCUGGACCUUUCCUUCUGGGGAACCUCAUGGCCUUCACUGGCUGUGGGGGGGAACCAGGGACUUUUUCUGUGAAAAAAUUAAAGUGUUCAAAAGCAGGGCCUUUGCUCCGAAUACAUUA